CAAUAGCGUAUAUUAAAGCUGUUGCGGUUAAAAAGCUCGUAGUUGGAUUUCUGUCAAGGACAACUGGUCCGCCCUCCGGGUGAGCACAUAGUUUGGUCUUGACAUCUUGCUGGAAGCUGUUGCUGCACUUGGCUGUGUGGCGCAGUGUUCAGCACUUUCACUUUGAGGAAAUUGGAGUGUUUCAAGCAGGCACAUGCCUUUGGACACAGUAGCAUGGAAUAAUUAGAUUGGGCUUUUGCUCCAAUUUGUCGGUUUCUGGAGCUGAGGUGAGUAUUAAUGGGGAUUGUUGGGGGCAUCCGAAUUUAGCCGUCAGAGGUGAAAUUCUUGGAUCUGCUAAAGACGGACAACUGCGAAAGCGUUUGCCCAGGGUGUUUUCAUUG
RNAcentral lists this ribosomal RNA (380 nucleotides) under uncultured eukaryote. Its description in RNAcentral is "partial 18S ribosomal RNA". It matches the Rfam family "Eukaryotic small subunit ribosomal RNA", at positions 592 to 975 of the family's 1831-position model. The record is from RNAcentral.